Molecule: long non-coding RNA, 860 nt
Filed under: Cyanistes caeruleus (blue tit)
Lineage: Eukaryota; Metazoa; Chordata; Aves; Passeriformes; Paridae
Description: lncRNA (ENSCCEG00000016069.1)
Source: RNAcentral
AGAUACCUCAAAAAUAUAAGUCUUAUGACUUGCUGUUUUUCAAAAAUUGUGACCUAAUUAGAUCACUAUAAUUAUUUCAGGCUAUGGGGCAGACUGUUAAGGCUUAGGGGACAACAGAUAACAAUUUAUAACUUUACUUGUUAAGAGGAAUACUGGUAAUCAAUAUUUCCAUGUUUUCAAAUGCUUUACAGGAAUUGUAUUUCUCAUAGUUUCUGUUCUUUUAUUCUCUAGAAAAAAGCAGCAACAGGAUUCCUUUCUUUCCAAUUCAAAUGUGACUUCCAUCCAUAUUUUGCACAGGCAGUUCUGCCCAGGGAUCCCUCAGAAUGAAUGAGCUGAAACUGAAAGUGGUACGUGCAGGAGAAACUAAGCUCAACCAAAGGAGGAAACUGAAAAAAACCCAGAAGGAUAUUAAUCAGACAAGACAUGAGUAACCUGAAGAAGAGCACUCUUUGUACUGACAAAGUGGAAAUGGCAUCUAUCCAAACAAACUGGCUCAAUGAGCCUUGGCUUUGAUGACCUUCUGCCUUGUUGGCCUUCUGGUUUAAUUGUGACCAAGGAACUGAGAAGAAAAUAGAGAGUAAAGGAGCCAUUUGGUCCACCUUUACAUCUGCCUGGGGCUUUGAUGACAGCCAUCAGCAGGUGCAGCAAGGGCAGCUGCAGGUAGGUAUGACAGGGUGGGAUGUCUCACAAGGUGCAGGGUGUACUAAGCCACUGAAUGCAUCAUCACCCCACUUUUCAGUCUAUGUUUGACCUCCAGUGCACAUGAGGAGAAGGGAGAUGGUGCUGUGACUUACAUUAGAGUGCUGUCUGCUCUUCUGGUGUCUUUGAUGGUGGCUCUUCUUGGCAUGUGACGUGAUCCC